AGAGUUUGAUCCUGGCUCAGGACGAACGCUGGCGGCAUGCCUAACACAUGCAAGUCGAACGGGGAUAGCAAUAUCCUAGUGGCGAACGGGUGAGUAACGCGUGAGUAACCUGCCUCAUACAACGGGAUACCUGAGGGAAACUUCAGUUAAUACGGUAUAAGACCACACUGCCGCAUGGCAGAGGGGUAAAAGGAGCAAUCCGGUAUGAGAUGGACUCGCGUCGCAUUAGCUAGUUGGUGAGGUAACGGCCCACCAAGGCGACGAUGCGUAGCCGACCUGAGAGGGUGAUCGGCCACAUUGGGACUGAGAUACGGCCCAGACUCCUACGGGAGGCAGCAGUGGGGAAUAUUGGGCAAUGGAGGAAACUCUGACCCAGCAAUGCCGCGUGAAUGAAGAAGGUCUUCGGAUUGUAAAGUUCUUUAGUCAGGGAAGAAAGAAAUGACGGUACCUGAAGAAUAAGCUCCGGCUAACUACGUG
RNAcentral lists this ribosomal RNA (477 nucleotides) under uncultured Clostridia bacterium. RNAcentral's name for it is "bacterial SSU rRNA". It matches the Rfam family "Bacterial small subunit ribosomal RNA", at positions 8 to 507 of the family's 1533-position model. The record is from RNAcentral. Lineage: Bacteria; Bacillati; Bacillota; Clostridia.